Molecule: long non-coding RNA, 467 nt
Organism: Esox lucius (northern pike)
Lineage: Eukaryota; Metazoa; Chordata; Actinopteri; Esociformes; Esocidae
Source: Ensembl
GCACCCCCUGCUGCCCAAUGUUAACCUCUAAUCCAAUGUUUCUUAUCUAGCUUCCAAGGAGCGGGAGACACAUCUUUCUACUCUGCCCAGCACUUCUCACCUGAGCAUAUGUACUGGUUUCUAUGGGGGCUGGUCUGGUGGUGGUUUGUCUGUUGGUUCUCCUUCUCCUCAUAUUCCUCAGACAAAGGAACAGAUCAAAGACACAUACAGGUGCGUGCACACUGUCCGCUGGCUAGAGCUACAAAGAGGCCGUCUCUCAUUUCCAUUUCCAACGAGAGCCAGCGAAUCACGGCGACAGUGGGCGGAGCUACUCUCUGAGACAAAAUCUCCCAGCAACAGUUGAGAUGGGUUCAACUUUAUGCUAAUUUCCAGCUAGCGGGCAGUGACGGAGUUUGGCGACUACCAAUGGCAGGGCAGAUGUUCUCUUACCCUUCUCUUACUUACCUGCUAGCUAGAAACUCACAAGC